This 253-nucleotide ribosomal RNA is filed under the name uncultured prokaryote. Its description in RNAcentral is "partial 16S ribosomal RNA". It matches the Rfam family "Bacterial small subunit ribosomal RNA", at positions 524 to 776 of the family's 1533-position model. The record is from RNAcentral.
UACGUAGGGCGCAAGCGUUAUCCGGAAUUAUUGGGCGUAAAGAGCUCGUAGGCGGUUUGUCGCGUCUGCCGUGAAAGUCCGGGGCUCAACUCCGGAUCUGCGGUGGGUACGGGCAGACUAGAGUGAUGUAGGGGAGGCUGGAAUUCCCGGUGGAGCGGUGAAAUGCGUUGAUAUCGGAAGGAACGCCGGUGGCGAAAGCGGCGUGCUGGAUCUCUUCUGACGCUGAUGCGCGAAAGCUAGGGGAGCAAACGGG